UUGCUUCUGACGUUAGCGGCGGACGGGUGAGUAACACGUGGAUAACCUACCUAUAAGACUGGGAUAACUUCGGGAAACCGGAGCUAAUACCGGAUAAUAUAUUGAACCGCAUGGUUCAAUAGUGAAAGACGGUUGCUGUCACUUAUAGAUGGAUCCGCGCCGCAUUAGCUAGUUGGUAAGGUAACGGCUUACCAAGGCAACGAUGCGUAGCCGACCUGAGAGGGUGAUCGGCCACACUGGAACUGAGACACGGUCCAGACUCCUACGGGAGGCAGCAGUAGGGAAUCUUCCGCAAUGGGCGGAAAGCCUGACGGAGCAACGCCGCGUGAGUGAUGAAGGUCUUCGGAUCGUAAAACUCUGUUAUUAGGGAAGAACAAAUGUGUAAGUAACUAUGCACGUCUUGACGGUACCUAAUCAGAAAGCCACGGCUAACUACGUGCCAGCAGCCGCGGAGGUGGCAAGCGUUAUCCGGAAUUUGCGUAUUGGGCGUAAAGCGCGCGUAGGCGGUUUUUUAAGUCUGAUGUGAAAGCCCACGGCUCAACCGUGGAGGGUCAUUGGAAACUGGAAAACUUGAGUGCAGAAGAGGAAAGUGAUUCCAUGUGUAGCGGUGAAAUGCGCAGAGAUAUGGAGGAACACCAGUGGCGAAGGCGACUUUCUGGUCUGUAACUGACGCUGAUGUGCGAAAGCGUGGGGAUCCCAAACAGGAUUAGAUACCCUGGUAGUCCACGCCGUAAACGAUGAGUGCUAAGUGUUAGGGUUUCCGCCCCUUAGUGCUGCAGCUAACGCAUUAAGCACUCCGCCUGGGGAGUACGACCGCAAGGUUGAAACUCAAAGGAAUUGACGGGGACCCGCACAAGCGGUGGAGCAUGUGGUUUAAUUCGAAGCAACGCGAAGAACCUUACCAAAUCUUGACAUCCUCUGACCCCUCUAGAGAUAGAGUUUCCCCUUCGGGGGACAGAGUGACAGGUGGUGCAUGGUUGUCGUCAGCUCGCGUGAGAUGUUGGGUUAAGUCCCGCAACGAGCGCAACCCUUAAGCUUAGUUGCCCAUUCAAGUUGGGCACUCUAAGUUGACUGCCGGUGACAAACCGGAGGAAGGUGGGGAUGACGUCAAAUCAUCAUGCCCCUUAUGAUUUGGGCUACACACGUGCUACAAUGGACAAUACAAAGGGUAGCGAAACCGCGAGGUCAAGCAAAUCCCAUAAAGUUGUUCUCAGUUCGGAUUGUAGUCUGCAACUCGACUAUAUGAAGCUGGAAUCGCUAGUAAUCGUAGAUCAGCAUGCUACGGUGAAUACGUUCCCGGGUC
RNAcentral lists this ribosomal RNA (1303 nucleotides) under Staphylococcus aureus. RNAcentral describes it as "bacterial SSU rRNA". It matches the Rfam family "Bacterial small subunit ribosomal RNA", at positions 80 to 1380 of the family's 1533-position model. The record is from RNAcentral. Lineage: Bacteria; Bacillati; Bacillota; Bacilli; Caryophanales; Staphylococcaceae.